GCGCCCCGUGCCUCGCUCGGUCACUCGACAAUUGGGUCAUCUUGAGCUGGAUGCAGCGUUUGCCUAGAGCGACGCUGUAAGGGGCAAUAUCGACAGAAUUUGAUUGAGUGCGGCCCUAUCUUAUGGUAGGGUUGCAAUUAUGAAAUUCGACAGAA
RNAcentral lists this small nucleolar RNA (155 nucleotides) under Ogataea parapolymorpha DL-1. Lineage: Eukaryota; Fungi; Ascomycota; Pichiomycetes; Pichiales; Pichiaceae. The record is from RNAcentral.